RNAcentral lists this long non-coding RNA (1065 nucleotides) under Homo sapiens (human). RNAcentral's name for it is "HSALNT0145072". Lineage: Eukaryota; Metazoa; Chordata; Mammalia; Primates; Hominidae. The record is from RNAcentral.
AAGGAGAGGCAGGGGACCGAACCUGGAGAUCCGCAACAUGGCAGCCUUCAGGCCCCACCCUGUGACAUCGCAGAGGCGCAGAGAGGACAGAGGGGGCUGCCUCAAGGUCACGCCUAGAAGUCCCCCAUCUUCAAGGGCUGCAGCUGGAAAAGACUUUUCACUUGGAAUCCUUCCGAUGCAGAUGUGUGAAGACUCUGGUAGCGACAUCUCGGGGACUGAGCAUCUUCUAUUGAUUGGAAAAACACACACAGCACCAGUGAGUUUGCAGAGCACACGCCGCAUUUUUCAGGGUUUGGGCAGGCGGAAAGCCAGCCGCGGGGCCUCAGCGCCCCCUGGGAGCCAUAGCCGGUAGUGCUCCCUGACGGAGCAGAAGGAGCCCAGCGGGCGGCUGGGAGGGAGGGAAGCCGGGCACCCUCAGAGGCAGGCAGCCCUGCGGGAGGCUCGAAGAAGAGCCACGCACGCCCAGCCCUGCCAGUGCAUCCCUGUGUGGCUUUGGGCAAAUCACAUCACCUCCCUGGUCUCCAGCUUCCCCACUGUAAACUUGGGGUACAGCCUGUGUGCACCCCACGGCCUUUGGAAUGGGCUGUGUGACCUCCUGCAAGCCACGAACCUCUCGGUGCGUCACGUUCUUGGCAGGGACAGCUGCCCACCCGCGGAGCGGCUGGUAGAGCUGCAGCAAAAAAUGAGCAGCCAACUGCCACGCACAGGUCUCUUUGAAUUUGAUCGAUGGACACAGCCCAGCCUCGGGGGCCCCUCUGGGUUCGACCAGCAGGCAGGAAAGACACAGGAACAAGGACCAAAGACGACCUGGAGUCUAAGCACCAAGGACAGACGGGUGUCCCUGGCAGGAGCCUGAGCUGCGGGAACCAGGGGCCUCGGCUGUGAGUCCCUGCCCUUCUUCCUCUGGGGGAUCCCCUCUGCUGCCCAGGACAGCUUGCCAGCCACCUGCUCCAGAAGCCUCCUGGCCCCAUUGUGAGCCCUUCAUCAGGCCGAGUGGAGGACCGUCACCGUGGGUAGGGAGAGGAGCAGCCGGAGCCCAGAGAAAGAAGUGGAAGCUCAGAGCGG